Molecule: transfer RNA, 85 nt
Filed under: Felis catus (domestic cat)
Lineage: Eukaryota; Metazoa; Chordata; Mammalia; Carnivora; Felidae
Also listed under: 2 other names
Rfam family: tRNA
About the family: Transfer RNA (tRNA) molecules are approximately 80 nucleotides in length. Their secondary structure includes four short double-helical elements and three loops (D, anti-codon, and T loops). Further hydrogen bonds mediate the characteristic L-shaped molecular structure. tRNAs have two regions of fundamental functional importance: the anti-codon, which is responsible for specific mRNA codon recognition, and the 3' end, to which the tRNAs corresponding amino acid is attached (by aminoacyl-tRNA synthetases). tRNAs cope with the degeneracy of the genetic code in two manners: having more than one tRNA (with a specific anti-codon) for a particular amino acid; and 'wobble' base-pairing, i.e. permitting non-standard base-pairing at the 3rd anti-codon position.
Source: Rfam by way of RNAcentral
GCCUGGGUGGCUCAGUCUGUUAAGCAUCUGACUUUGGCUCAGGUCAUGAUCUCACAGUUCGUGGGUUCAAGCCCCAUGUUGGGCU